AGAGUUUGAUCCUGGCUCAGAUUGAACGCUGGCGGAAUGCUUUACACAUGCAAGUCGAACGGCAGCACGGGAGCUUGCUCCUGGUGGCGAGUGGCGAACGGGUGAGUAAAAUAUCGGAACGUACCCAGUAAUGGGGGAUAACUAGUCGAAAGAUUAGCUAAUACCGCAUACGCCCUGAGGGGGAAAGCGGGGGAUCGAAAGACCUCGCGUUAUUGGAGCGGCCGAUAUCUGAUUAGCUAGUUGGUGGGGUAAAGGCCUACCAAGGCGACGAUCAGUAGCUGGUCUGAGAGGACGACCAGCCACACUGGAACUGAGACACGGUCCAGACUCCUACGGGAGGCAGCAGUGGGGAAUUUUGGACAAUGGGCGCAAGCCUGAUCCAGCCAUUCCGCGUGAGUGAAGAAGGCCUUCGGGUUGUAAAGCUCUUUCGCAAGGGAAGAAACGAUACAGUCGAAUAAACUGUGUUAAUGACGGUACCUUGAUAAGAAGCACCGGCUAACUACGUGCCAGCAGCCGCGGUAAUACGUAGGGUGCGAGCGUUAAUCGGAAUUACUGGGCGUAAAGCGUGCGCAGGCGGUUUUGUAAGUCAGAUGUGAAAUCCCCGGGCUCAACCUGGGAACUGCGUUUGAAACUACAAGGCUAGAGUGUAGCAGAGGGGGGUAGAAUUCCACGUGUAGCAGUGAAAUGCGUAGAGAUGUGGAGGAAUACCAAUGGCGAAGGCAGCCCCCUGGGUUAACACUGACGCUCAUGCACGAAAGCGUGGGGAGCAAACAGGAUUAGAUACCCUGGUAGUCCACGCCUUAAACGAUGUCUACUAGUUGUUGGUGGAGUAAAAUCCAUUAGUAACGCAGCUAACGCGUGAAGUAGACCGCCUGGGGAGUACGGUCGCAAGAUUAAAACUUAAAGGAAUUGACGG
This 916-nucleotide ribosomal RNA is filed under the name uncultured bacterium. RNAcentral describes it as "bacterial SSU rRNA". It matches the Rfam family "Bacterial small subunit ribosomal RNA", at positions 8 to 916 of the family's 1533-position model. The record is from RNAcentral.